RNAcentral lists this RNase P RNA (420 nucleotides) under Candidatus Anderseniibacteriota bacterium. RNAcentral's name for it is "RNase P RNA component class A". It matches the Rfam family "Bacterial RNase P class A". Rfam says of the family: Ribonuclease P (RNase P) is a ubiquitous endoribonuclease, found in archaea, bacteria and eukarya as well as chloroplasts and mitochondria. Lineage: Bacteria; Candidatus Anderseniibacteriota. The record is from RNAcentral.
AGCGGUAAGCGCACUGUCGCUUAUGUACGUUUGUAUAUGAGAGGAAAGUCCGGACACUCUGGCGACCGUAAGGUUGUCAGCCAAAAGUGGCAGGUAAUACCUGCUCGCUUUAUACGCGAAGGACUGGCAGGUAAAAAGGUAGACACACGUGUAUAUCUUUUUUGCCAGCGAAGAGCGCAACAGAAACAAACCGCUUCGCCUUUGGCGAAGUAAGGGUGAAAUUGUAGUGUAAGAGACUACGCAGCUGGGCGGUAACGUUUGGCUGGGGCAAGCCCCACUUAGUGCAACUCCAAGCAUGUUUACCACAAGGUAAGCAAGGUAGGAGGCUUGAGGGAUAUUGCGAAAUAUCUCCUAGAUAGAUGAUAGUGGCCUCGCCUCUCUGGCGGGGUACAGAAUCCGGCUUAUAGCUUACCAAAAAUU